Molecule: ribosomal RNA, 288 nt
Filed under: uncultured bacterium
Lineage: Bacteria
Description: partial 16S ribosomal RNA
Rfam family: Bacterial small subunit ribosomal RNA
Source: RNAcentral
GACGAACGCUGGCGGCGUGCUUAACACAUGCAAGUCGAGCGAGGGUGUCUCUGUCCUUUUUGGGUGGGGGUGUUCGAGCGGCGAACGGGUGAGUAACACGUGAGUAAUCUGCCCUUCACUUGGGGAUAACUUCCGGAAACGGUGGCUAAUACCCGAUAUGGACCAUGCGCUGCCUGGUGUGUGGUGGAAAGAGUUUUUGGUGGGGGAUGUGCUCGCGGCCUAUCAGCUUGUUGGUGGGGAAUGGCCUACCAAGGCUUCGACGGGUAGCCGGCCUGAGAGGGUGGACGC